This is an RNA transcript of Prosopis cineraria, 2047 nucleotides long. It is a transcript of the gene named ALBINO3-like protein 2, chloroplastic, with no coding region annotated. NCBI's taxonomy places the organism in Eukaryota, Viridiplantae, Streptophyta, Magnoliopsida, Fabales, Fabaceae. The record is from RefSeq and is a predicted model, not a curated record. The transcript has 13 exons.
UCCGCUUACUUAGAUUGGACCUUGGGGGUAGCCGCCACCCGCAGUCUCCAUGGCCACCUCCGUCAUCUCUGCCCGCAUUUGCCGUCGUCGUCUAUCUUUCACUUUCCCCCUUUUAUCGCAACUCGUCAACACUAAACUCCUUACAUCGUCACCUAACUCAACACCGCCAUUACGGCCUCCACCUCCUCCAUAUGAUACUUACAGACCUCACUAUCGAUUGGCCUUGAACUCUUUGGCAGUUCUUGGUGCCUUUUCCUCGCGUACCUUCUCUACUUCUUUUCCUGACGAUGACUCGGAAAUCUUGGGUAGUGAUCCACUGGUUUUGUCGGAGCUUUUGAAUGGAAAUGAGCCGGUGGCUGCUGGUGUCACCGACGGGAACGACUACAUUUUCCCUGUUCAAGCUGUGAUCUCGAUGCUUGAUGGAUUUCAUGAUCUCACUGGACUGCCAUGGUGGAUGGUCAUAGCUUCCUCUACUUUGGCUCUCAGAAUCAUAAUACUUCCGGUUCUAAUUUUUCAACUUCAUAAGACUCAAAGGCUUGUCCAGUUUCUCCCUGGAUUGCCUCCUCCAUUCCCACCACCUAUGUCAAAAAGGAGUUUUAAAGCCCAGUAUUUGCUAUUCGAGAAGGAGAGAAAAGCAAUUGGAUGUCCCUCAUUACUUUGGCAGCUUUCAUUCUUGACUGUUCAGGUUCCAUGUUUUUUCUUGUGGAUGUUUAGCAUACGGAGGAUGUCACUGGAUGGUCACCCUGGUUUUGAUUGUGGUGGAGCUUUAUGGUUCCAAGAUUUAACAGCACUUUCUCAUGGUUGGUCAGGUUUCAUAAUCCCUUCAUUGAUAGCUGGUUUGCACUGUGCUAAUGUUCAGACAUCCUUUCAGAAAAAAUUAGUUGGAAAGGCUGGUGGCGCUCUUGCCUUGCUAGCAGACCUUUACAAGGGGUAUUUGAAGUUUCUUGCAGUGCCCAUAUUUUUCAUUGCGUUGGCUAUUCCUCAGGGGAGCCUCGUCUAUUGGAUUGCAAAUAGUUCUCUAGCCAUCACUCAGCAAUUAACACUGAGACAUCCGGUCAUCCUUGCCAAAUUGGGGCUGCAAGAGGACAUUAGUCAAAAACAGGAUUCUGAGAAUUCUGGUGCUCCUGAAAUUGUGGUCUUGGAUUCACAGGAGUUACAAGACAAGAACAGUUCUAUAAAAGCUUCUGAGGAAACUAAUGUUCCUAAAACAACUAGUGAUUCACCUGAAAAGUGGUUUAGAAUACCUGCGGAGAAUUUAUCUCCCAAAGAACUAACUGCUUUUUCAGUUCAAAUUCAUGCUGGUGGGGACAGAGAGAAAGCCUUUCUCUUACUGAAACUGGCACUUGAUAAGGAUCCUGAAUAUGUAAGAGCUUUGGUUUUAAUGGGGCAUCUUCUAUUGCAGAAGCAAUCAAAUGCUGAAGCUACUGGUUACUUCCAGCGUGCAAUUUCCAAGUUGUUUCUUGGUCGUUCCCUAGCUUACUCUUGCUGGCCAGCCAACUGAAGUGGAGGAUGUUGAUCUUCUAAUUCUUGCUUCCCAAUGGGCAGGCGUUGCCUAUGAACGUCAGGUGAAGUUCAUACGUUGAAUUGAGAACAGGCUUGGAUAUUCAGAUUAGUUGGCAGAAUUCAACCUUUUAUGGAGAAUGUCUUUGUUGCCUGAAUGAAAAUUGACCAUCUUUUUUUUUUUUUUUGGGGGGGGGGGGGGCGCUGCCAAUGUUAUCUGUUUCAAAACCUGUGGUCAGCUGAUUCUCUUGUGCAUCAUUAAAUUAAUAACCUAGAGCAUGUUAGGGCUACUGUUACCUAACCAGUUGGCAUUGGCAAUUUUAGAAGUUUGCAUCCUCUGAAAGAUUGAAAGGAUUCUGUGCAUUAUGUUUUCUUGUCAAAUUUUCCUCGUGGUCAGGGAAAGAGGGCUGAAGGAUUUGUACACUUUGAAAGAGUUGCAAAUAUGGAAGAACCCGAAGAUCCAGCAUGCAAAGCUCAUUAUUUUAAUGGGUUACUAUUGCUUGCGAGCACUCUAUAUGAUGCCGGGCAAAAGGCUGAAGCUGCCAAG